AUCCAUUUGUUCACUAAAAGGCAUUUGGGUUAAUUCCAUAUCUUGGGUAUGGUAAACAAUGCUGCCAUGAACAUGGUUGUGCUGUUGGUUGGUGA
Long non-coding RNA from Dipodomys spectabilis (banner-tailed kangaroo rat), 95 nucleotides. RefSeq lists it as uncharacterized. Lineage: Eukaryota; Metazoa; Chordata; Mammalia; Rodentia; Heteromyidae. The transcript is spliced from 3 exons. The record is from RefSeq and is a predicted model, not a curated record.